GACGAACGCUGGCGGCGUGCUUAACACAUGCAAGUCGAACGGUGAAGGGACCGGUUUUUGCUGGUUCUGGAUGAGUGGCGAACGGGUGAGUAACACGUGAGUAACCUGCCCCCUUCUUCUGGAUAACCGCAUGAAAGUGUGGCUAAUACGGGAUAUUCUGCGCCUGCUGCAUGGUGGGUGUGGGAAAGAUAUUGUUUCGGUGGGGGAUGGGCUCGCGGCCUAUCAGCUUGUUGGUGGGGUGAUGGCCUACCAAGGCGGUGACGGGUAGCCGGCCUGAGAGGGUGGACGGUCACACUGGGACUGAGACACGGCCCAGACUCCUACGGGAGGCAGCAGUGGGGAAUAUUGCACAAUGGGCGCAAGCCUGAUGCAGCGACGCCGCGUGAGGGAUGGAGGCCUUCGGGUUGUAAACCACUUUCGCCAGUGAAGCAGGCCUGUCCCUUUUGUGGGUGGGUUGACGGUAGCUGGAUAAGAAGCGCCGGCUAACUACGUG
Molecule: ribosomal RNA, 493 nt
Filed under: uncultured bacterium
Lineage: Bacteria
Description: partial 16S ribosomal RNA
Rfam family: Bacterial small subunit ribosomal RNA
Source: RNAcentral